GACGAACGCUGGCGGCGUGCUUAACACAUGCAAGUCGAACGGAAAGGCCCUGCUUUUGUGGGGUGCUCGAGUGGCGAACGGGUGAGUAACACGUGAGUAACCUGCCCUUGACUUUGGGAUAACUUCAGGAAACUGGGGCUAAUACCGGAUAGGAGCUCCUGCUGCAUGGUGGGGGUUGGAAAGUUUCGGCGGUUGGGGAUGGACUCGCGGCUUAUCAGCUUGUUGGUGGGGUAGUGGCUUACCGAGGCUUUGACGGGUAGCCGGCCUGUGAGGGUGGCCGGCCACAUUGGGACUGAGGGACGCCCCAGAGGCCAACGGGGGGCAGCGGGGGGGAAUAUUGCACAGUGGGCGGAAGCCUGAUGCAGCAACGCCGCGUGCGGGAUGACGGCCUUCUGGUUGUAAACCGCUUUCGCCUGUGACGAAGCGUGAGUGACGGUAAUGGGUGAAGAAGCACCGGCUAACUACGUG
RNAcentral lists this ribosomal RNA (468 nucleotides) under uncultured bacterium. RNAcentral's name for it is "partial 16S ribosomal RNA". It matches the Rfam family "Bacterial small subunit ribosomal RNA", at positions 28 to 507 of the family's 1533-position model. The record is from RNAcentral.